ACAGCAGUCGCCACGGGAAUACGUAGGUGGCAAGCGUUGUCCGGAAUUAUUGGGCGUAAAGGGCUCGCAGGCGGUUACUUAAGUCUGAUGUGAAAGCCCCCGGCUCAACCGGGGAGGGUCAUUGGAAACUGGGAAACUUGAGUGCAGAAGAGGAGAGUGGAAUUCCACGUGUAGCGGUGAAAUGCGUGGAGAUGUGGAGGAACACCAGUGGCGAAGGCGACUCUCUGGUCUGUAACUGACGCUGAGGAGCGAAAGCGUGGGGAGCGAACAGGAUUAGAUACCCCUGUAGUCCCUGUCUCUUAUAC
RNAcentral lists this ribosomal RNA (305 nucleotides) under uncultured bacterium. RNAcentral describes it as "partial 16S ribosomal RNA". It matches the Rfam family "Bacterial small subunit ribosomal RNA", at positions 505 to 807 of the family's 1533-position model. The record is from RNAcentral.